GACAGAGGUGCCAAGCGUUAUUCGGAAUCACUGGGCUUAAAGAGUCUGUAGGCGGCUGAGAAAGUAGGGUGUGAAAUCCCACGGCUUAACCGUGGAACUGCGCCCUAAACUACUCAGCUUGAGGGAGCUAGAGGUAAGCGGAACUGAUGGUGGAGCGGUGAAAUGCGUUGAUAUCAUCAGGAACACCGGAGGCGAAGGCGGCUUACUGGGGCUUUUCUGACGCUGAGAGACGAAAGCUAGGGUAGCGAACGGG
Molecule: ribosomal RNA, 253 nt
Filed under: uncultured bacterium
Lineage: Bacteria
Description: partial 16S ribosomal RNA
Rfam family: Bacterial small subunit ribosomal RNA
Source: RNAcentral